Molecule: unclassified non-coding RNA, 380 nt
Filed under: Hevea brasiliensis (rubber tree)
Lineage: Eukaryota; Viridiplantae; Streptophyta; Magnoliopsida; Malpighiales; Euphorbiaceae
Source: RNAcentral
AAUGGUUCAAAGUCCAACUCUAGCACAAACUUGCCAUUGACAUUGCCAUUGACACUUCCAUUAACAAGUUCCUCCUUGAAGUGCAGAUACUCAGCAACACGCAACUCCUCAACAACGAGGGCAUGGACGUUCACUCUAAUGUACUCCCAAACACCAGGCCUUGGACGCACAGCAAAAGCAACACAGGGAGGCAAAACAAUUGCUUCCUGUGCAGAUCUCAGAACUUCCCCAAAUACGCUAUCCAAUAGUUUCUUUCUGUUCUCUUCUGGGAUUGCUUCAAACUCAGCAAUUAUGUGGUGAUGCUGAAGAAUUCCUUUUCCCUUACCUUCAAUCCUUGAGAGUAAGGCCACAAUUUCAUUGCGGUGAGCAGAAAGUGUCUC